GACGAACGCUAGCGGCGUGCCUAAGAAAUGCAAGUCGAGCGAAGUUAGAGAGCUUGCUCUCGAAGCUUAGCGGCGAACGGUCGCGUAACACGUAAGGAACCUGCCCCGAAGUGUGGGAUAGCCCCGGGAAAUGGGAGUAAUACCUCAUGUGGUCCAUCAUUGGCAUCUUUGAUGGUCUAAAGCAGCAAUGCGCUUCGGGAUGGUCUUGCGGCCUAUCAGCUAGUUGGUGUGGUAAUGGCUCACCAAGGCGACGACGGGUAGCUGGUCUGAGAGGAUGGUCAGCCGGACUGGGACUGAGACACGGCCCAGACUCCUACGGGUGGCAG
This 326-nucleotide ribosomal RNA is filed under the name uncultured Armatimonadota bacterium. Its description in RNAcentral is "bacterial SSU rRNA". It matches the Rfam family "Bacterial small subunit ribosomal RNA", at positions 28 to 351 of the family's 1533-position model. Lineage: Bacteria; Bacillati; Armatimonadota. The record is from RNAcentral.